AGUUUGAUCAUGGCUCAGAGUGAACGCUGGCGGCAGGCCUAAUACAUGCAAGUCGAACGGCAGCACAGUGGAGCUUGCUCCAUGGGUGGCGAGUGGCGGACGGGUGAGGAAUACAUGGGAAUCUGCCCAGUCGUGGGGGAUAACGUAUGGAAACGUACGCUAAUACCGCAUGCGCCCUUCGGGGGAAAGUUGGGGACCGCAAGGCCUGACGCGAUUGGAUGAGCCCAUGUUCGAUUAGCUAGUUGGCGGGGUAACGGCCCACCAAGGCGACGAUCGAUAGCUGGUCUGAGAGGAUGAUCAGCCACACUGGAACUGAGACACGGUCCAGACUCCUACGGGAGGCAGCAGUAGGGAAUAUUGGACAAUGGGGGCAACCCUGAUCCAGCCAUGCCGCGUGAGUGAAGAAGGCCCUCGGGUUGUAAAGCUCUUUUGUUGGGGAAGAAAAGCAGUUGGUUAAUACCCGAUUGUUCUGACGGUACCCAAAGAAUAAGCACCGGCUAACUUCGUG
Molecule: ribosomal RNA, 508 nt
Filed under: uncultured bacterium
Lineage: Bacteria
Description: bacterial SSU rRNA
Rfam family: Bacterial small subunit ribosomal RNA
Source: RNAcentral